Molecule: ribosomal RNA, 328 nt
Filed under: uncultured eukaryote
Lineage: Eukaryota
Description: partial 18S ribosomal RNA
Rfam family: Eukaryotic small subunit ribosomal RNA
Source: RNAcentral
CCCUUAGAUGUCCGGGGCUGCACGCGCGCUACACUGAAGGAAUCAGCGUGCUAAAACCAUUGUCGAAAGGCAUUGGUAAACCCAUUAAAAUCCUACGUGAUUGGGAUCGGGAAUUGCAAUUAUUUCCCUUGAACGAGGAAUUCCCAGUAAGUGUGGGUCAUAAGCUCGCGUUGAUUACGUCCCUGCCCUUUGUACACACCGCCCGUCGCUGCCCGGGACUGAGCCGUUUCGAGAAAAGCGGGGACUGCUGCUGUCGGGGCUUUCGGGCCUUGGCUUCGGUGGAAACCGCUUUAAUCGCAGUGGCUUGAACCGGGCAAANGUCGUNACA